Mustela lutreola (European mink) is the source of this 2448-nucleotide RNA transcript. It is a transcript of the gene named chitinase domain containing 1, with no coding region annotated. Lineage: Eukaryota; Metazoa; Chordata; Mammalia; Carnivora; Mustelidae. The transcript is spliced from 3 exons. The record is from RefSeq and is a predicted model, not a curated record.
AGCGCAGGAGUCCCCCAGACUCUAAUUGGUGAAAGGAAACGUAUUGGAAAGUAUAUUUAUGACUAGAUUGUCAUCCCAAAGGUGUGUGCAAAUUUGGCGAGAGUUGUUGCUGCCCCAGGUCCACACUGUUAGCGCCGUCAUCUCUGGUGCUCGCCAGCACUGGGUGUCCGCUCCUUCCUUCAAUCGCUGGUGAAGCGGAGGUACUGUUUCUGGGGCUUAGUGCCUCUCUGUGUAGUCCAGGAGAUCUCUGUAUAUUCCAGGGCGUCUCUGCCUAUUCCAGAGGAUCUCUGUGUGUUCCAGGGGAUCUCUGCCUAUGCCAGAGGAUCUCUGCGUAUUCCCAGGGAUCUCUGUGUACUCCAGGGGAUCUCUGCCUAUUCCAGGGGAUCUCUGUGUGUUCCAGGAUGUCUCUGUGUAUUCUGGGGGAUCUCUGUGUGUUCCAGGGGAUCUCUGUGUACUCCAGGGGAUCUCCGCGUAUUCCAGGGCGUCUCUGCCUAAUCCAGGGGAUCUCCGCAUGUUCCGAGGGAUCUCUGCCUAUUCCAGAGCGUCUCUGCCUAUUCCAGGGGAUCUCUGUGUGUUCCAGGGGAUCUCUGCCUAUUCCAGAGGAUCUCUGCGUAUUCUGGGCCACCUCUCUGUAGUCCACGGGAUCUCCACGUAUUCCAGAGCGUCUCUGCCUAAUCCAGGGGAUCUCUGUGUGUUCCAGGAUGUCUCUGCGUAUUCUGGGGGAUCUCUGCGUGUUCCAGGGGAUCUCUGCAUAGUCCAGGGGAUCUCCUCGUAUUCCAGGGCGUCUCUGCCUAAUCCAGGGGAUCUCCACGUGUUCCAGGGGAUCUCUGCCUAUUCCAGAGGAUCUCUGCAUAUUCCAGGGGAUCUCUGUGUGUACCAGGGGAUCUCUGCCUAUUGCAGAGCGUCUCUGCCUAAUCCAGGGGAUCUCUGUGUAAUCCAGGAGAUCUCUGCCUAUUCCAGAGGAUCUCUGUGUAUUCCAGGGCGCCUCUCUGUAGUCCACAGGAUCUCCACGUAUUCCAGAGCGUCUCUGCCUAAUCCAGGGGAUCUCUGUGUAAUCCAGGAGAUCUCUGCCUAUUCCGGAGGAUCUCUGUGUAUUCCAGGGCGCCUCUCUGUAGUCCACGGGAUCUCCACGUAUUCCAGAGCGUCUCUGCCUAAUCCAGGGGAUUUCUGUGUGUUCCAGGAUGUCUCUGUGUAUUCUGGGGGAUCUCUGUGUGUUCCAGGGGAUCUCCGCAUAGUCCAGAGGAUUUCCGUAUAUUCCAGGGCGUCUCUGUCUAUUCCAGGGGAUCUCUGCGUAUUCCAGGGCAUCUCUAUGUAUUCCAGGGGAUCUCUGUGUGUUCUGGGGCAUCUCUACCUAUUCCAGGGUGUCUCUGUGUUACUGGCAUCUCUGUGUCUGGGGCAUGUAUAACGUGGGGUACUUCUGCAUUAUGGGUCAUCUCUAUGUUACAAUGUGUCUGUAUUACACAGUAUUUCUAUUAUGGGGUAUCUGUAUUGCAGGGUUUGCCUGGCUUUACAGGGUAUCUGUGAUUGCGUGUCUGUAUGGGGUACCUGUGUGUUAGGGAGUUUGAGGUUCUGUGUAGUAAGAGGUAUGACUGCACCUCUUUGUUUCCUAUAUUUUUGCAGUGGGGCAUUUUUUUUAUUGGAGUGUCUUUUUUCAUUUUUGUAUAAGAUUUUAUUUAUUGAUUUAUUUGGCAGCGAGAUAGUAGGCAGAGCGGCAGGCAGAGGGAAAGGGAGAAGCAGGCCUUCCAUCAAGGAGGGAGCCCAGUAUGGGGCUUGAUCCCACGACCCUGGAUUGUGAUCCGUGCCGAAGGCAGCUGCUUAACUGACUGAGCCACCCAGGCGCCCCUUAUUGGAGCCUCUUGUUCUUUUUAUUUCUUUCUUUCUUUCUUUUUUUUUUUUUUUUAACAUUUUAUUUAUUUAUUUGACAGAGAGAGAGAGAGAUCACAAGCAGGCAGAGAAGCAGGCAGAGAGAGAGGAGGAAGCAGGCUCCUCGCUGAGCAGAGAGCCCGAUGCAGGGCUCGAUCCCAGAACCCUGAGAUCAUGACCCGAGCUGAAGGCAGAGGCUUUAACCCACUGAGCCACCCAGGCACCCCUUAUUCUUUUUUUUUUUUUUUAAUAAAUAUUUUAUUUAUUUAUUUGACAGAGACUGUGAGAGAGAGAACACAAGCAGGGGGAGUGGGAGAGGGAAACACAGACUUCCCGCCAAGCAGAGAGCCUGAUGUGGGGCUCAAUUCCAGGAUGCCAGGAUCAUGACCUGAGCCAAAGGCAGACUCCCAGUGACUGAGCCCCCCCAGGCAAUCCGACUCUUUUUCUUGAUUUAGCGCGCACAAGCAGGGGGAGCGGCAGGCAGAGGGAGAGGUAGAAUCAGGCCCCCCCCUGCCACCAGCAGGGAGUCCGAUGCCCGGCUCGAUACCAGGAUCAUGACCUGAGCCAAAGCCCCCGGCCCCUGCG